AGCCCGGUGGUGUAGCGGCAAUCAUGGAGGCCUUUGGAGCCUUCGACGGGAGUUCGAAUCUCCCCCGGGCUACCA
Molecule: transfer RNA, 75 nt
Filed under: bacterium
Lineage: Bacteria
Also listed under: 6 other names
Description: tRNA-Gln
Rfam family: tRNA
About the family: Transfer RNA (tRNA) molecules are approximately 80 nucleotides in length. Their secondary structure includes four short double-helical elements and three loops (D, anti-codon, and T loops).
Source: RNAcentral